Molecule: long non-coding RNA, 214 nt
Filed under: Lathyrus oleraceus (garden pea)
Lineage: Eukaryota; Viridiplantae; Streptophyta; Magnoliopsida; Fabales; Fabaceae
Description: Pisum sativum (pea) long non-coding RNA (PSAT_LNC018644)
Source: RNAcentral
UGAUAUUGCGGAUGUGGUUACUGAUUGUUACUAUGUUGCUGAUACUAUUGAUUGUCUCUGAAAACAGGUGCUAUAUGAGCCACCUGGUGCUGGUUACUGGCGGGACGCACAGUCUUCCUCCUCACAAAGGGUCUUCUUGGUUUCUCAUGGGAGAUCACAGCAUGUGCCUCUCCAUCUUUCUUCUUUGCAAACGCCCCAUAACGUUUGGCAGAAG